ACUAGCGCUGCUCUCCAAGCUCGUCAUCACCGGAGGUGUUCUUCCCUGAAUGCCACUCUCUUUGAGUGCCCGAGAAGGAUACUCUCCCGAACCCCCAGUUCCCUACUCGAUACAACUCCUCCCAAACUCCAUCGUCAGCUCCAAGACUCGAAGCUCCUCUUCUCUUCAGCGACUGCCACCACCGCCUCGACACCAUCCACGGGACCUUCACCAAGGUCAGCGUCAGCAUGUUCACGAAGGCGCACGGGCAGCAGCCUAACGCGAUGCAGUUGGCGACGAGGACUGCGGUGCACGAACGACAUGAGUUGCCGGAGCACUCGACGUGAUCGCUGGCCUCGCUUGACCUGAUCAAAGUACAGUCAGUGAGAUAGCUUUUAUAAAUAUGCAGUGAACAAAUUAAGAAAGAAAUGUGCUUCCCAAUUAUUUUUGACCUCUUUCUUCCUUCUAAAAACCACUAUAUUUUAAGAACAUAUAUGUCAUUUGUUCAUCUUUGCUCUUGAUUCAGUCCUAGCAAUUAGAUAAAA
This is a long non-coding RNA of Musa acuminata AAA Group (dessert banana), 524 nucleotides long. RefSeq lists it as uncharacterized. Lineage: Eukaryota; Viridiplantae; Streptophyta; Magnoliopsida; Zingiberales; Musaceae. The transcript is spliced from 2 exons. The record is from RefSeq and is a predicted model, not a curated record.